This 440-nucleotide ribosomal RNA is filed under the name uncultured bacterium. RNAcentral's name for it is "partial 16S ribosomal RNA". It matches the Rfam family "Bacterial small subunit ribosomal RNA", at positions 338 to 795 of the family's 1533-position model. The record is from RNAcentral.
ACUACGGGUGGCAGCAGUGGGGGAUAUUGCACAAUGGGGGGAACCCUGAUGCAGCGACGCCGCGUGGGUGAAGAAGCGCCUCGGCGCGUAAAGCCCUGUCGGCAGGGAAGAAAAUGACGGUACCUGAAGAAGAAGCCCCGGCUAACUACGUGCCAGCAGCCGCGGUAAUACGUAGGGGGCAAGCGUUAUCCGGAUUUACUGGGUGUAAAGGGGGCGCAGACGGCGAUGCAAGCCAGGAGUGAAAGCCCGGGGCCCAACCCCGGGACUGCUCUUGGAACUGCGUGGCUGGAGUGCAGGAGGGGCAGGCGGAAUUCCUGGUGUAGCGGUGAAAUGCGUAGAUAUCAGGAGGAACACCGGUGGCGAAGGCGGCCUGCUGGACUGCAACUGACGUUGAGGCCCGAAAGCGUGGGGAUCAAACAGGAUUAGAUACCCUAGUAGUC